Molecule: ribosomal RNA, 468 nt
Filed under: uncultured bacterium
Lineage: Bacteria
Description: partial 16S ribosomal RNA
Rfam family: Bacterial small subunit ribosomal RNA
Source: RNAcentral
GACGAACGCUGGCGGCGUGCUUAACACAUGCAAGUCGAACGGAAAGGCCCUGCUUUUGUGGGGUGCUCGAGUGGCGAACGGGUGAGUAACACGUGAGUAACCUGCCCUUGACUUUGGGAUAACUUCAGGAAACUGGGGCUAAUACCGGAUAGGAGCUCCUGCUGCAUGGUGGGGGUUGGAAAGUUUCGGCGGUUGGGGAUGGACUCGCGGCUUAUCAGCUUGUUGGUGGGGUAGUGGCUUACCAAGGCUUUGACGGGUAGCCGGCCUGAGAGGGUGACCGGCCACAUUGGGACUGAGAUACGGACCAGACGCCUACGGGAGGCAGCAGUGGGGAAUAUUGCACAAUAGGCGGAAGCGUGAUGCAGCAACGCCGCGUGCGGGAUGACGGCCUUCGGGUUGUAAACCGCUUUCGCCUGUGACGAAGCGUGAGUGACGGUAAUGGGUAAAGAAGCACCGGCUAACUACGUG